AGUGAACGCUGGCGGUAGGCCUAACACAUGCAAGUCGAACGGCAGCACAGGAAGAGCUUGCUCUUACGGGUGGCGAGUGGCGGACGGGUGAGGAAUACAUCGGAAUCUACUUUUUCGUGGGGGACAACGUAGGGAAACUUACGCUACUACCGCAUACGACCUACGGGUGAAAGCAGGGGAUAUUCGGACCUUGCGCGAUUGAAUGAGCCGAUGUCGGGUUAGUUAGUUGGCGGGGUAAAGGCCCACAAAGGCGACGAUCCGUAGCUGGUUUGAGAGGAUGACCGCCACAACGGGACCUGGACCCCGCUCCAGCCCCCUCGGGGGGCCGCAGGUGGGGAACUUUGGCCAUUGGGCGCAAGCCUACCCCAGCCCUACCCCGUGGGUAAAGAAGGUCUUCGGGUUUUAAACCCCUUUUGUUGGGAAAGAAGAUCAGCAGGUUAAAACCCCGAUGUUCUGACGGUACCCAACGAAUAAGCACCGGCUAACUUCGUG
RNAcentral lists this ribosomal RNA (492 nucleotides) under uncultured bacterium. RNAcentral describes it as "partial 16S ribosomal RNA". It matches the Rfam family "Bacterial small subunit ribosomal RNA", at positions 29 to 507 of the family's 1533-position model. The record is from RNAcentral.